This 408-nucleotide ribosomal RNA is filed under the name bacterium enrichment culture clone ALO1_GLFRUDD03GHUV9. RNAcentral describes it as "bacterial SSU rRNA". It matches the Rfam family "Bacterial small subunit ribosomal RNA", at positions 9 to 417 of the family's 1533-position model. The record is from RNAcentral.
GAGUUUGAUCCUGGCUCAGAUUGAACGCUGGCGGCAUGCCUUACCCAUGCCAAGUCGAACGGCAGCACGGGAGCUUGCUCCUGGUGGCGAGUGGCGAACGGGUGAGUAAUGCAUCGGAACGUAUCCUGGAGUGGGGGAUAACGUAGCGAAAGUUACGCUAAUACCGCAUAUUCUGUGAGCAGGAAAGCGGGGGACCUUCGGGCCUCGCGCUCUUGGAGCGGCCGAUGUCGGAUUAGCUAGUUGGUGAGGUAAAGGCUCACCAAGGCGACGAUCCGUAGCAGGUCUGAGAGGAUGAUCUGCCACACUGGAACUGAGACACGGUCCAGACUCCUACGGGAGGCAGCAGUGGGGAAUUUGGACAAUGGGGGCAACCCUGAUCCAGCCAUGCCGCGUGAGUGAAGAAGGCCU